GCCCGGGUGGUGAAAUUGGUAGACACAAGGGACUUAAAAUCCCUCGGAGAUAAUACUCCGUGCCGGUUCGAGUCCGGCCCCGGGCACAA
RNAcentral lists this transfer RNA (89 nucleotides) under Fidelibacterota bacterium. RNAcentral describes it as "tRNA-Leu". It matches the Rfam family "tRNA". Rfam says of the family: Transfer RNA (tRNA) molecules are approximately 80 nucleotides in length. Their secondary structure includes four short double-helical elements and three loops (D, anti-codon, and T loops). Further hydrogen bonds mediate the characteristic L-shaped molecular structure. tRNAs have two regions of fundamental functional importance: the anti-codon, which is responsible for specific mRNA codon recognition, and the 3' end, to which the tRNAs corresponding amino acid is attached (by aminoacyl-tRNA synthetases). tRNAs cope with the degeneracy of the genetic code in two manners: having more than one tRNA (with a specific anti-codon) for a particular amino acid; and 'wobble' base-pairing, i.e. permitting non-standard base-pairing at the 3rd anti-codon position. The record is from RNAcentral. Lineage: Bacteria; Pseudomonadati; Fidelibacterota.